This 411-nucleotide ribosomal RNA is filed under the name uncultured bacterium. RNAcentral describes it as "bacterial SSU rRNA". It matches the Rfam family "Bacterial small subunit ribosomal RNA", at positions 355 to 783 of the family's 1533-position model. The record is from RNAcentral.
UCGGGAAUUUUGGGCAAUGGGCGAAAGCCUGACCCAGCAACGCCGCGUGAAGGAUGAAGUAUUUCGGUAUGUAAACUUCGUAAGAAUAGGAAGAAUAAAUGACGGUACUAUUUGUAAGGUCCGGCUAACUACGUGCCAGCAGCCGCGGUAAUACGUAGGGACCAAGCGUUGUUCGGAUUUACUGGGCGUAAAGGGCGCGUAGGCGGUGUGUCAAGUCAGUUGUGAAAUCUCCGAGCUUAACUCGGAACGGUCAACUGAUACUGUCACACUAGAGUACAGAAGGGGCAAUCGGAAUUCUUGGUGUAGCGGUGAAAUGCGUAGAUAUCAAGAGGAACACCUGAGGCGAAGGCGGGUUGCUGGGCUGAUACUGACGCUGAGGCGCGAAAGCUAGGGUAGCAAACGGGAUUAGAU